This is a long non-coding RNA of Patella vulgata (common limpet), 252 nucleotides long. RefSeq lists it as uncharacterized. The transcript has 3 exons. The record is from RefSeq and is a predicted model, not a curated record. NCBI's taxonomy places the organism in Eukaryota, Metazoa, Mollusca, Gastropoda, Patellidae.
CGAAACGAGAACAGAUCGCCGGAACUGUCCGAAUGGAAAAUGUCCCAACUUUAAAAUCAAUCGUCUUGAUGGUGGUGUUAGUAGUGACUGUCUGACGUCAGCUUAUGGUCCAUACACGAAGGAACCAGAGGCGGCUGAACCCAAACCAGAUGCUUUACCAUGUCAGACUAAAUCAUCACAGGGCUUGGGCGCUGGACCACAAAGAACAACGUCGUACGUACCACCAGCUCUGGAACCACCUAAAUGUCCGAG